CAGUAGCCACGGUAAUACGUAGGGUGCGAGCGUUAAUCGGAAUUACUGGGCGUAAAGCGUGCGUAGGCGGUGAUGUAAGACAGAUGUGAAAUCCCCGGGCUCAACCUGGGAACUGCAUUAGUGACUGCAUCGCUGGAGUGCGGCAGAGGGGGAUGGAAUUCCGCGUGUAGCAGUGAAAUGCGUAGAUAUGCGGAGGAACACCGAUGGCGAAGGCAAUCCCCUGGGCCUGCACUGACGCUCAUGCACGAAAGCGUGGGGAGCAAACAGGAUUAGAUACCCCAGUAGUCCCUGUCUCUUAUAC
RNAcentral lists this ribosomal RNA (301 nucleotides) under uncultured bacterium. Its description in RNAcentral is "partial 16S ribosomal RNA". It matches the Rfam family "Bacterial small subunit ribosomal RNA", at positions 509 to 807 of the family's 1533-position model. The record is from RNAcentral.